AGGCUAUCGCGUCACUAGUCGGCGACCUACUUCGGCACACCUGCUAUAGUCAUUAAGCCGGCAGCUGCUCUUCUCUGCGUAUCCUCGAUGUGCCUCACGUCCAUUUUCACUCAGAAGUUUGGCUUUUUGACGUAUUCCUAGACACUUCUAGAAUAUAUAUUUCGUGGCAGUCAAACAAUGCGAUUAGUUAGAAGAAUAUGCCAAAUACUCUUAUUCGUCCAGAACGUUACUUCAGAGCAGAAAUCAGUAGUAAAUGGAAACGGUUGUCGGGUAUUAGAUGAGACGAAAAAAAAAAGUGAAGAGUGGAAUUUUAUAUGCCAGAUAUUCUUCGAAAUGCACACAUAUCAGAGAUCCCCUUUUUUUCCUAAACUGUUUCAACUGGAGUUUCAAUUCUAGUACUGGCGAGAAAAUGCUUAAUGGCAGGUUUCCACGUGUAAAGUAGAAUGUUUCGGUGAGGAUUUCGUUGAGUGAAACGGGAUAAGCAGCGUCGGGCCAACGAAUGGGCGGGAAUUCGGCAGCAAGAGUAAAAGACAGAAAGUCCUCACCAUGGCACAGGCUCCGCCCGAAAAUCGAUGUCCGAAAGGACGGGAGGCAGACAUCACGCGAUGGAUUCAUUACUGGUUGUGUCCAUCCAAUCUCAUUAGAGUCGGCAUCCGCAUCGGAGUGAAUGGUGGCCUUUCCCGUUCGGACUUAAAAUACGCUUCCGGAAUUACCGGAGUGCUUUUUGUGAUUACAGGUACGAGAAAAAAAAAGUCAGAAAAUCGAUUGCUUCGAGAAUCUUUUUCGUUUUUUUCUAGACAGGUAGUAACGAAAAUUUCGGAAUCAAAAAUUCGAACCUGUGAGUGCAGGAGAAUUAUGAGUUUUAUAACUAAACGCUGAGAUCAGCGAAUGGAUUCAGGUGUUAUACAGAUAAAGUAGUAAGAAUUCUUUUAACUUAUAAAAAAAAUAACUGAUUUAUCAAUCAUUUUUCCUGGAAACCCAACUGUUUCGCAGAUAUGCUAACUGAUGACAAAUAUGUGUUUUUUUUAUUAAUACAUUUAGCUGCAGCAUAUUUUAAGGUUGAAUAAAGUCCUAUCCGCUUG
Molecule: long non-coding RNA, 1082 nt
Filed under: Androctonus crassicauda
Lineage: Eukaryota; Metazoa; Arthropoda; Arachnida; Scorpiones; Buthidae
Source: RNAcentral